Molecule: long non-coding RNA, 596 nt
Filed under: Homo sapiens (human)
Lineage: Eukaryota; Metazoa; Chordata; Mammalia; Primates; Hominidae
Description: HSALNT0275252
Source: RNAcentral
GACUGUGCUUGUGACUGGGAAUGAUCCCGAGGAGGCAUGUGUGAAGAAAACGUGUAUACAUACUGUGCUACAGAUCAUGCCAUUUACUUAGCAACUUAUUGGAUCAUCUGACAAUUACCAGUGGCACACUGCACUACAAUUUUCAAGUUUAGGCCAUGCUUCAUAUUUGCAGAUGCAACACUGUGAUGGUCACGAGCUAAGGGGAUGACCGUGCCUCUCUGUGGAGUGUUUAGGCAUCACUUGUCAUCUGCAUUACCAGCAGAGAUCAUCUGGUCACCUGGUAAUAGCACAUCAGCUCCUCCAGCUCAUCUGCAUGAAUGACGAUGUGAAGACCACACAGCUGUGCGAAGCGGAACUCUUGUCCAUCCAUGCAGGCAAAGCACACCUAGGGGACGGAGGGCAAGCGUGAGGGUCCCCAAGACAGGACACAGCACCACAGCAGCUGACUUACAAGGCACACAGUUGCAAAUGCAGAAAUACCAGCAGUGGGGUAUUUUAAGUUGGAUUCUGAACAAGUAGCUAACUCUAUGAUGAAUUGUACAAGACUGGGAGAAAAAAUAUGACAUUUGUAAUCUGCAGGCCAAGGGGGUGCUUGA